Molecule: transfer RNA, 76 nt
Filed under: Chloroflexota bacterium
Lineage: Bacteria; Bacillati; Chloroflexota
Also listed under: 3 other names
Description: tRNA-Trp
Rfam family: tRNA
About the family: Transfer RNA (tRNA) molecules are approximately 80 nucleotides in length.
Source: RNAcentral
AGGCCAGUAGCUCAACUGGUAGAGCACUCGUCUCCAAAACGAGCGGUUGUGGGUUCAAGUCCUGCCUGGCCUGCCU